UGUUUGCUAGGAGCAAAGGAAAAGAGCACAACUCUCGGUAUAUGGGCCACUCUUUCCCUGCUGACGACAACACCUCACAUGGCCUUUGAACACUGGCCGUGCUGGCUGGGAUCAAGAUUUGCCAUCCAGAACCUCCAGAGGCCACCCCAGGUUAGAAGAUAGUGGAAGAUGAGCAGUGGAAGCUGCAAUGGUUCUGCAGUGCGACUACCACAAUCAAAGCCCGUGGACCACAUCUGAUGGCAAUAAAUUCAAGAUUUCUAGGAGGCAAGAAAAAGGACCAAGGAGGUAUUGUCGGGAGGAGAGCAGCUCCCACGUUCUGCACUAGGCCUCGCAAGGCACUCUCUCCUGCAAGCAAAUGCAAACCUACCAAGACACACAGCACUCCAUAAUUAAACAAUCCCUGAUGCAUCUGUUUUGGGUUUA
Varanus komodoensis (Komodo dragon) is the source of this 423-nucleotide long non-coding RNA. RefSeq lists it as uncharacterized. The transcript has 2 exons. Lineage: Eukaryota; Metazoa; Chordata; Lepidosauria; Squamata; Varanidae. The record is from RefSeq and is a predicted model, not a curated record.